GCUGUCUGCAAAUGUGUAGUUUUCUACAAUUACAGGUUAUAUUUUUUUAAAAAAAGAUUGCUUCAUUCAUUCUACAGUGCAUCAUCCUUGUUCCUUUCCUUUCUUUGUGGUAAGCAUUAAAGGAUGACCCAUUUUGUAUAGAGAGAUGCCUAGGCUUGUCAUUUUGGUGUUGUCCAUCCUGUUACAGCCAUCGGUGAGUUUACCCAAGUCAGAGGACAUCUCUGGUGAUGUUAGUCAUAACUAGCUGUCAUGGAUAUGGUGGGUUGCUGUAUUCAUAGCAAGUGAACUUACAGACAAUAACCCUGUUUCUUGCAUUAUUUCCCACUGCGACACGUGGGGGUGUGUAUGCAGGAUGACCCAGAACAGCGGUUCAGAAUGGUCUCUGCAUUGGUGGUAGCUGGAUGGCUGGGCAGCACUUCUCUGCUCUUCAGCUAAAAUAAGUCCUUCCUUCACACUUCUUUUCAAAGGAAACCACCUGUAGUUUUAUCAGUGUUUUCUCUUUCAACUCCAAGAUCCUGAUUUUGUGUGGCACUAUGGCUAGACAAUAAGGAGAGUGCAAGGAAUGCAUUCAUGGACAGUUAUGAAAAAGCGUGUCUCCAGAAAGUGCUUGUUUCUAACUGCCAUAAGCUGCAGGUUGGCUGAUGGUUGAGAGAUGAAUAAUUGCAUUCCUUUUUAAAUGACACACUUUAGAAGUGGUGUGGAUUUCCCUUUUUUUAGUCAGUCACAUGUCCUGAUCCAUCAAUGUGUUUCAGUUCUUUUUAAGCUUGGAUGAGGUUUUGAAAUAAAUAAAAUUGGCAUACGCUUCAACACUGUCCUCAAGCAGAAGUUCUUUCCAACGUCCAGACCCUAACUUUUAAAAAAGCAGUUGUUUCUAGAAUAAUUUCAGGCAUUCAGUAUUCCCACGUGCAUUCAGCUGACAUGCCUUGUGGUAGACACCCAAAACUUGCAGCGUGCAUGAUGUGGAAAAUGAUAGCUGCACUCUCGGAUUUGUCCCCCCUGGCCCCCAGCCCUGUGCCUUAGCUUUGAUCCCACCUCCAGCCCUUGAAACCCAUGUGUGCGAGCGAUAGGAAGGGCAAAUCAAUGUGGGUAACCAUGCUGGUGAUUUAAGCGCUGAAGCUGAUAGAAGAGCAGAAGCAGAGAAGUGCACUGAGGAGAACAGUUUUUAAGUACUUAAUUAUAGAGUGCCUGAAGAAGGCUGGAUGCUUUCUGGAGUACGGAUCAAGUGUCUUCUCCUCUGAUACGAUUAGGCCACUUUGGCUACCUUGUGUCAAGUCCCUUCCAGACAUGCUAGCACUUGGAUUCCUCCCACUCCCCAGAGGACUGUAAUUAAGAAGUUACUGCCUCCCAAGUGUGCAAUUAUGUUCUCUUAAACCCAAUAAGAAGCCCUUAGUCUGAAACAUCCCGUUUCCUGCAUUAGCGUUCUUCUGAUAGGUAGGUACCCCACCACGCUUUGGUAAGCUGCCGAGGCUGUUUUAUCCUCUGGACAAUUUGCUGAAUGUGAAGAGUGUUAAGAAAGGGAUCAAGAAGAAGAUAUAAAGUAGGUAAAAUAAAAAAAAACACCUGUGUAAGUGCACUUGAUAAGUACUUUUAAAAUAAAAACUUAUGUAAAAGUCUCAGUAUCGGUAAAGUUUGCCAGAAAUGAGGAAGGAUAAACUUCCCAGGACUGCAAGUUUUGGUUUUGCUGCUUGUUUUUAUUUUUUUAACUCUUCUUAAAAAAUGGUGGUUUUAAAAUAAAAUAGGUUGGAAGGAAACUAUCCGAAGAGAGUCUCUGUGCUGGUGGCAAGAAUAAAAUUCAAAGACUUACUACCCCUUAAAAGCCUCUUGCUUAGACUAACCAAACACUCAGUUAUGUCAGUCCCAAUUUUAAGCUUCUAUGAAGGCAAGACUCAUUUUGUGAAAAUUGUGUAUGCAGGGCAGUAAUAUGAUCUGCUUGAAAACUGGUUUUAGGCAGUAACCUUGACUAUCCCACCAUGCUAAUGUUACUGUAGCAUAUGACAAAUAAUUAUAUUUCUCUUGUUUAAGGCAUUGCAGAAAUAGAAAUAAAACAAUUCCUAGGCAUGAUCUUCCAGCGCAGUCACAAAAUUUUGAGCUAAGCCUUCCUUGUUGCCAUGCACGCCUUCGUGCUGUGCUCUGGGUGGGCAUGGAGACCGUUUUAUUCCCUCCCUCACUGUGCCAGCCUUUAGGCUUUCAAACAUGCUUCCUCCCGGCUUCCCUUGUUUAGACUAAAGAAUUGAAUUUCUUUGAUAUUUCUGCUUAGGCUAUGUUUUCUAGCUCUUUGAUUUUUUUUCCUUGUUCUUUUCUGAGCACUUUUCAAUAUGUCCCUGACCCUCUUAAAGUGUUCAGAAAUGGACGGUGCUCUGGGUGAUGCCUUGUUAGUGCCCAGCUGAGCAGAAGGAUGUGUUUUUUUCUAAAUGCUUUGUUAUAUUCUUGUUUUAUGUAUUACAGUAUAUUUUUUUUUCUUCAGUAGCAUGGCAUUGCUGACUCACGUCCAGCUUGUGAUCCCUUGAGUCCUUCUCUGCAGAGUUCCUGGCAGCCCUGCUUUAUGCAGGUGAUAUUCCUACCUAAAUGUAGUGCUUGGGAAUUCACUAAGGACAAUGGCUAUCUCUUUUUAAAUGGGCUAUAUCUCCAUUUUACCACAAAUGCUCUUGAUUUUGGGUUUACUUGUCAGAGUUGGGCCACAACCCAGAAUGCAUUCACCAGACAAAAGUAACUGUCUAUGCUUGGCUUGUAGUUCCAGAAAAGGACUUGAAGCUCAGCAGAUAUUAACACCAUAAGACCUUCAGGGAAGUUUUUAAAAAAAUAAAGGUAGGAAUAUUCUAAGUAAACCAGGGAGUAUAUAGUUUUAAAAGUAAAGUUCAUUGCCUGAUGUCUUUAAGUAGUAACCUUUCUCAGUUCUACAAGUCAUAGCAAGUUUCAGGUAAGUUGAAUGCAAACAGUUAGGCUGGUUCCAUGCCAAGGAUUAAUGGCAGUUAAUCCUUGCAAACAAAAGGUAAACUAUGGAAAAAUUAAACACACACAGUAACAAAACUUUUAGUAGGUGAUUCUAAUAAAUUGUGAAUUAGCUGAUGAACAUAAGGUGUCAAAUGCAAUGCUACAAGGUAUGCAAUACAACCUUCACUACUUGAUGUUCCAAAAAAGACUUUCAUAAUCACUACUGCUUUCUGCCAGCAUCUUAGUCCAGGGUGGUGACAUGCCUAAGCUAUGCAAUCACUUAUAAGAACUAACCUGGAAACAUGUAGAAGUACUGCAGUUAUGCCAGCUGUUUUUAACAGGGAAAAGUGAUACGGGCACGAUAUCCUAGACUACUGUUUCUUCAAAGUGUGUUAAUAUCCUGAGCACUGUUCAUUUAGAGCACCGGGAGCAAGACAUGAAAAUAACAGCAUUAUCUGGGUUGCAGACACUGCCUUCAAAAUGUAAGAUUAACAUUAAACUGUAAACUUUUUGUGGGGUAUCCCUCCAGUUCUGUUACCCAUAGCAUUAGUUGACAGUUGUGUUUGAGAGGAAUGGAUGACCUGUCAUUGCAAAUAGCAUAUUUUAGUUCUGCGUGUCUGUGAGAACAGGGAGCACUACAUUAUUUAUACUAGUAGUUUGGCUAUUAGUUAAUUAAAAACAUCUGGUCAAACCGGCAUCUCUAUUUCUAUGCAUGCAGCAGAAUACAGUAUCUAUUCUGCAUGGUGUUGGUUUUCAUGGGGCUUUCUAUUUCCUACAAAAUGUUUCUGUUACUGUUGAUAAUAGCUUCAUUUAACUUGAAUGUCCCUGUAUGGAGGAAAAGAAUCUGGUUUUGUGUAACAGAAGGUAAAAAAAUCUAAUUUAGGCAAAUAUUGUAAAGUGUUGUUGAAUAUAUUGAAAAAACAUCCCACACCUAAAAUGACAAAUGUUUGUAUAGGACAUAUCAGCACUCUGCUGUCAUAAUGCAAUAUGUUGUAUGACAUUAUUGAAUCUCCAGGUUUGCUAGUGAAGAAUGAAAAGAAAAAUAGAAUUGCUACUUCAUACCUUAGAGAUGAAUGUAAUCAUCAUGAAAUUCAUUCAGGUGACGAUGCCUAAAACUAUCCACGUUUUCCACUGUAAGAUGUGGUUUUUGCCUUCUUGUAUCUUUGGAAAAAAAAAAACCAAACAAAUGCAAAACAGAAUUGUCAAGCUAAUUUUAUGCCCCAGGAUGAAUUGUAGUGGGAUGACCUAAGAUGGCUGGGUUGUUUUAGAGAAGGAGGCUAAGGAAAAGAUGCAUGAUUUUGUUGCUAUUAAAAUCUUUACAGCAGCUUGACCAUGAAAAAGUUAAAAACUUUGGGAGAAGGGAGAUGGGAAAUCACAGCAAGGGAGAAGACUCGUGGUCAUCCCACUUUAAAGGACCUGCCCUCAUGGGAAAGCUCUCUGAGCAGACUAGUGUGGGGAGAAAAGCUGGUGGAGAGGAGACAGGCUGGAUGUGGCUGGUUGUUAGUGCUCACUUUCCAAAGCUGGGAAGCAAUCCCUGUUCCCACCUGUGACACCCAAUGGCAAAACAUGUGCCCAUCUUCUGCUAGUGGUCAGCCAAAAAACAUCUGCAACGUUCAAAAAGACAAAGCAAAAGAAGCAGCGCUUUCUACUGCUCUGUUAGCUUGGCGAAAGAAGCUGCCAGUAAUGAUCCCAUGGUAGUAACCCUGCGUGUCAUGGUAAUGAUAUAUGAUGGAUGUUCCUGGGGCUCUCCAUUGUGGUGUUUUUAAAAGGCAGAAGUUUCUGCGCAAGAACUGUAUUGAGAGAAAACACCAGGUGUAUGGUUGAUUGUGCAACCUUAAGAUGGUGCUCAGGGUAGAAGUCAGAAUUCUAUGGAGAAAGGAGUAGUUGUGUGUCAGCCUUCUGCUUGCUUUUGUUACCAAAUCAAAGGGUAUGUAAUGAAAGAGAAAUGAAAAUAAAGACUUCAAGAUUAGACAUUUGCCUUUGGACCUUAAAAUGAGUUUUAGCCUUCUUUUUGUCCUAAUAUUGCUUAUGAACUCUCUGAAGUCAGGUUAAGUAAAGCUCUUGUCUCUCUGUGUAGUCCUCAGUGCUUGACUUGAGAGCCUGUCUCUGAUUUGCAGAAGUGAGAAGCUGCUUUGAAAAGCUGACACCUGGGAGGUGUAUCCUCUAAGUAAAAACACAAGUGCUGUGCAUUGCUAAAACCUCUGGCAACUCCGGCUAUGCUCUUCCUAAGCUGGGAUCCUGCAGUUAGUAGAUACUGGUGAGUGUCUUCUUUCUGUCUUCAGAAUCAGAACAAUGCUGCAAGUCCACAGGGGGCUGGGGCAGAGGCUUCAGAAGAGGUCUGCAGUGAUGAACCCUGCUGAAAAAGACCAUGAGGGACUCUAAUGUGCAGUGGGGGGAGAAGUGUAAACUGGAAAAAAUAAUAGGAUAUGUCUGUUCAGUAGGCAUGGUCUCUUUGAGACCAGGAAUUGUAGCAGGGGCCCACGGGAAAAAUCACCAAGCAGAGUCCGAGGGAAGACUGUAUGAAGAAGCCAGCGUGCAAAGGAGCUGAAUGCAAGUUGUAUGACAGUUUUAAACUUGUUGUUUUUCUACCUUUUGAUUGUAAGAGAAAAAAAGUGAAAAAAAUGAUGUGUUGAUGUAGAGUUUAUAGGGUGCUUUGGGGCAUGCAGGGCUUGCAGGGUCUUUGUUGCACGCUCUGCAUGUACGUGUGUGCAUAUGAACCAAGAGGCUGCUUGUCUUCCCAAAUAAGCCUAAAAAUGUUGUUUGUUUACCCAGUGCAUUUCUCUAAUGUCUUCAUUUUUCUGGUACAGCAGCAAACCCCAAUUAUACAAAAAGCUACUGUCCUAAAAUUAGAAAGACUGUAAUUCACAAGAAAUAUUUGCAGUUUCGAUGUAUUUCCUUUGGUAUCUGCCCUUUUGGUGUUUACAGUUGUUUAUUUUACAUUUCUAGGCAACAGAAGCCUACUUUAUUCAAUAAUUUAAGUACAUAUAUAUAUACGAAUAAAUGAAGUCAUCCUUCAGUGUGUCACUUUUAAUCUGGAGAUCAGUCUGAAGAUACUAUUACUUUGCAUCUAGAAAUAUGUCUGGUAAUUUGUCUAAACUCCUUGAAUACUAUUUCUUACAGUUACACUUAUUUAAGGAAAUUUAUGGUUUAAAUUGCAACGACUGUAUGUAAAAUGUGUUUCUUAAAAGUCUCCUUUUUUAAUAAUUUACACGUAUAAAUAUUAAUAUCUCAUUUUAUGACAUUGCUGUUGUCUUAUUUAGGAUCCUGGAAAAAAACCCAACUAAUUAGAUUCAGAAAGAACAGCUAUUAUUGUUAUUUAACUAGCACACUGCUAUUUUUAAGUUAUAUUGAAAAUUAUCUGAGAUAAUAAAUUAUCCUAUUUAAUUCUAUCUUACCCACAGGCCUGACGGACUGCUGUUUGACUUUGUCCCCAUCAGCUAUCAGACGCAGGGGGCAGGAUUUCCUCUAAACUUCGUGUUGCAGCCCUAGCUGCCUUUCCCAAAUUCUGAUCCCGAUGUACAAGGGCUGCAAUUGUAUUGGCUUGUCCCAGAUGUUUAUCACAGGGGAGGAGAAUCCUAAACAUGGAUAAAGUUUACGCAUUUUAGUUUCCACUACUAAUGUGAUGAUUUGAAGAUUUCUCUAUCUUAAGCCAAGGCCAGGAAGGACAGAAGGUAGAGUGGCCAGCACGACCCACUACGGCAAUAUGUGGCACUCAAGAUGUGAGUAAUGAUGUACUUUUCUGUAUCUCAUUAAGCAACCAAAGGAUGAUCAGCAACAACUGAUCAAGGCAGAGGCAGAGCAGCCCUCUUGUUGGGUCUUGCUUGGGAGCUGCGAGCGUAACCAUUGUCUGCAUCCUCAUCUCUCAACAUGCACCAUCAGACGUGUCAAAGCUACGUUUUGUAUGGGAAUGCAAGAGUGUGUGACAGCCGGGAUAAUUUUAGGGUGAUCUUGAAAUACUCAAAAGGAUUUCCACCUUAAGGGGUGGAGGGAGGGGAAGCUGGCUUUAGUCCCUGUUGAGCUCUUGUAUGCUGUCCUUCAUUCCAAGGUAAGAAAUUCUAGGUGUCAGAAUGUCUAGGUAGCACUUACACACCUCAGAGAUUUUGUUUGGCUUUUCUAGACAGAUAAGAAGGCUCAGUCUCCCCACAAAAUCAAGGUCCUUUUUGUACAGACCUUCCCCCUACAGUCUGUCCUUUUCCCAUUCUCCUUUCCUUCCAGCUUCUGCAUCUUCACGUUUUCAUCCUUAUCCCAGCUGUGUUUGCAAGCACCUGGCUCUUUGCACUCAGGGCCUUCGUAGUUGCACUCCCCUCUUCUCUCUUGGUCCUCUAAUGCAAAAAGGAGCAUUUCUGAAAUGUGUGUGCUUGUGCAGUCAAGAAUUUUGCUGUUGGCACACCACCCAAUGACUUCACUCUUGCCUGAAUGGGGAGAGAGUGUCCUCUGAAGGGGAUCUGGAGGCCACCUAGGUGCUUAGAUCUUUGUUUGCACCUUGUUAUCUAGCCUGGAGUGCUGCCAGGCAUUCCUGUGCAGGCAGAUUUGCAAGCUGCCUACAAGCUCUUGUGAAGACCUUGUCUGGAUGGGAAGGGAGAAUGGGUGCGGGAGUCUUUGUUGAUGAUACAGCAGUACAGAUGUAGCUGGUUUACUUCCAUCGUUUUCAGCUUAAUUAAAAUGUAAGUACCCUGGACCUAGAGGUUCAGCACAGGAACUGAACAGGCAUCUCCAAGGAGAAUCCUGCAUAGCCAGCAGGUAAAGUUCAUAUGGAUUUAUGCUUUCUUUUAGCUUUCUAAGAACAUCUGAAAAAAAUAUGUAAUGCUAUAUCUUUAACUAAGGCUGGUUUUAGAAUAGUGAUUCCUAUAAAUUGAGAAUGAAGAGGAAGACAUGACAGAACUGCAGAAAUAAGGACUUUUUGAACCAUUGAAAAGUAAAUCACAAGCAGGGUAAUGUUUGUUAUGGCAGAACAUCCCCAGGUAAAGGGAAGGAGUAGGAAGUUGCCCAAACCCCUGUGAACUCACUGGUUUGUUUAAUAAACAGAAGCCAAGCUUUUAACAGAUGAACAGUGUUGUCUUGUACAUAAGAGGACUUAAUAUUUCUAAACGUGAACAAACCUCUUUUUUCCCAGUAUAAAAUAAUCUCACAUCUGCUCAAAAUCCCAAUAAUUUCAGUUUAUGUGUGGCAGCAACUACCUUUAGGAAGGUAGUCCAGCAGAAGUAAUUCUGGACGUGCUUUCAUCUUGAAGCACGUGUAUUGCUUCCAUCACUUCUCAAGCCUCAGAGUUCUCCUGCUUCAAGUCUCAAUAUUUACUAUGUCAGGUUGAAGCCUGCCAGUAACCAAAAAUAUCAGUUCCAGCCCUCCUUUCCUAGUAAAGAUACUGAUAUUAUGAGGGCUCUGGUCUUGUCAAAAACAAUGGAAAAAAAUCUUGUGAAAUGUGUGGAAUAUGAAGGCAAGCUUUUUUUUGUGGUUAAAAAUAGUAUCUGCGAUAAUAUAAUUACAUAUAAUAUAAAUCAUAAAAUAAAAAUCAUCUGCAAUAAUAAAGUCCCUAAAAUUGGGACUUUCUUACUGUGUGGAGGAUGCUAAAUAAGACUUUUUAAAUGGUAUCUUGUGCUAAGAUAAUUAUGGGAAAAACCAGCUUUCGAUGAAUCUGACAGGUGUUUGAAAAGCUCAAUGGGCAGCACGAUUUGCUGUUGUGCAGAAGACCAAGGUUCAGAAGCACACACAAAAUUUUGUCAUCUCAACAGCCAGCAGGAAGUGGAGGUGGCAUAAAGAAAAUGACAGCCUUUGCUGCAAAGGCAAACAGAAAUCUUACCUGUGAUCUGGAGCUGAGUUUGUUUCCUGUAUAAAAGGGGCAAGGGGUUAGAAGCAGAUAAUACUUCCCAGAAUGGCUUGAUGUCCAUAGCUGGGUGAGAAUUCUCUUCCUUUAAAUUUACGGUGGCUGCAUCGGAUGUGCCAGAAAAUGAUGGAUCAGUAGAGCCCUAUAAAUCCUGAACACGUAUGUAGUAUAGCUUUUCAAAAAUAACUUGCAAAACAGACUUUCAGGAGAAGAAAAACUCCACAAUGACAGCACACUGACAGUGCAAUAGAGAGGAAUUUGUUAUUCUGACUGCAGGGGUGACAAUGACCAGAGGGCAAAUGCAUAAAAUAGGAAGGAAGAGCCUAUGUGCAAAUGUCAAGUACCCCCCGCAGCAAAUGAAAGAAAGAGAGAUAUGCUCAAAGUGUGUUUACUCUAUAUAGGCAUAAUACUACUACUACUAAUAGUAAAUAAUAAUAAUAAAGGUAAUUUCUCUGAUUACAAUAAAUAUUUCUGAGCUUGAAGCUGAGGAUGCGAUGCAACAUUAUAUAGUAUCACCUGUGUAUAAAUGAUUCCAUUCAGAUGUUCAUUGCCAUGAAAUUAAAAGAAACCUUUGCCAUCUAAUGGUGAAGGUGGCAGCAAAAAUGGACACGAAUGGUAAGUGAAGGGUUAAAUAUAUAGGAUGGUCUUUUUUGUGAGUAAUCUUUGUUGACAAUUUUUAAGCUGUGGUUUGACUCUAGAAAUAAAUGUGAUUAUUAUCAUUAUUUCUUUUAUUACCUAAAGGGGAGAAUAUCUACUCACAAGUAAAACUACUUCAGUAUGAAAUUAAUUUUGCAGGCAUAAUUUGCACCCUCAAACAAGAUCUCAAUCCCAAAAAGGAGCAGCAAGAAACUGAAAGCCCUGUUGUGUUUCUGAAGUUAUUUAGUUCUAAACAAACCUUCCCAGGCUGUCUGUCUGCUUUGUACUUUUAGUUCUUCUUUGUUAUUGAAUGCUUUUGUAAGAAAGCAGGAUUUUUGUUCUGAAUUUUUCUUCCCCUGAUAUUUCCCACAUGAAGUUACAAUCCUCUGAUAGCUUGUACGAAGAGGAUUAGAACAUGUCAUCACUAAUUGCAGAUGAGGAUUUAAAGCAGGGAUGGACAGGAGAAGCAGAAAGAUGAGAUUGCCUGACCUGUCUUGCUUCAGACCAUGCGGCUGCUUUGCAUCUACCCCUGCUGCCCCAGGAAGGUAGCCUGGCUUCCACAUCUGUCCUCAUCUUACAGAAAGGGAUUUUUUUUUUUUUUUUGAAUGUGAUCAAACACUAACUUUUCUGCCGAGACACUGAUUUUUUUAUUGUACAUUUUCCCUAAAGAUCCAUUUCUACCAUGAGAACUACACAAAGUUAGUUGGUUCAUAAAAGUACAAGGGAAGGAACAGCUGCAAAGAGGAAUCACUUCUAAACUCCCAAAAGUGCCAGAUUGCAGGGGUGGGAUCGUACCUUCCUCCACAACUUUUUUUGUUGUUUCUUCUAGAAAGUAAACUUUUGAGUACUGCCAUUGUAUCCCCACCUAUACCAUACAAGUGCUUCCCUCGAGUCUGGAAGUAGUAAUGGUAAGGUACACAAGCCCUAACCAUCUGCAAACAUUACUGUUACUUAAAGGAAACAACGGGUAGCAAUUUGAGUAAUAAGCUUAAGGAAUUACAUAACUUAAGUAGCAAUAGAACAAAAUUAUGUCAGCAUGCAUUUCCCUCUCUUUUGCUUCAGCACAAAUCAAUUAUGAAAUACAAAUCAAAGUAAUGGAUACAUGUUUAUAAAAAUUUAGGGUUCCAGGCACUGAUUAACCAUGAUGGAGAGAACUUGCUCUCAUGAAGAUAAAUGUAUUAUCAUAAAGAACCUAAAAGUUCCCAUGUGAGGCUGUGAACUACUUGAAAGGACAAUUUAUAGUAGCCCUAGCAUUCUUUGAUGGGUUGAAGUCUAAGGAGAUAAGACACAAUAAGCAAGUGGUCAGAGCUGCUUUUCAACUUCUCUGUAUGGAUCAUUUGUCAGUAAAUUGCAUAAGCAGAGGAAAGCAGUUAGCAUAAAUGCCCCUUCGUCUGAUUUUAAAAAAGAUUCUUUUCUUUUAAAGUCUACUUUCUUGCAACAAGGUGAAAGAGUGACUCAGCAAUUUAAAAAAAAAAAAAGGCAAAACUGAGCUAGAGGGAAUUUAAUUAUCUUUAGGCAUCUAAUAAAAACCACAGAAGUUUGUCACAAUUUUCAGGACUUGUCUGUCAAAUCUUGACAGAUCAGGAAAGUGAAAAGGACAGUUUCUUGGUUAAGACUGAAAAAGAGCUUGAACUUCAUUUUCAAGGAGAAAGGAUGUUUUUUAAUUAAUAAAGGUAAAGAAAUAUGUGGUAAAACUACCUCCUUGUCUGACGUAUCAUGAAAGCCGCAACCAGAAUUCCACAUGUCUGUCAGUCCCUCCUGUGCCAAGAUCUGGGCUUUCAUUUUGAGGGAUGAAAACAUUUUUUAAAGUCAUUGGGAAAACAAUAUGUGAUUCAGUUAGAUAAAGAAUUAAAUGCCUCAGUCUUCUCAGAAUCAAAGGAAAAGAACAGUUUCAGCUGUGCUAAAUAGACUUGUUGACGUAACGUGCUGGUUCUUGGUCACCUGAAUUUACGAUGUAAACCAGUAUCUCUGUGAAGGCUGCAUUACCGAGAUGACUUCAGUGUUUUGUUAUUUAAUCACAUAGCCUGAGCACUUCUAGUGAGGAAAAGAAGGGAUUAACAGACAGAGGUCAGGGCUUGGGAUUUUAAAAUUUAUGUGCUGUUUCUUGACUGCUAUAAAAGGUAGACUAAAUAUAUUGUCCGUCUCACAGAGCAAUGUUUUACAGAUCAAAAGGCCAUAUCUUUAAAGCAGGCAGCAUUUUAGUCCUAAAUAAUACUCUUUUACCAAAGUGAUCAUAUAGCUCAAAUGUUCCUGAAAUGGUGAGUCUGUUGUAAUGUAUAGCUAUUGGUGAUACGAGGCUUAAUAUAGACUAAGUUCUUGGAAAAAGAAAGGAAACCUUGCUGUAAACGUUAUCAGUGGCUUGGCAAGUGGUUGGGAGACAGACAACUUUUUUGUUCGUUCGUCUUUACCAUCAGAAUGUAGGGUACUGGACACCAGGGGGGCUGACAGAAACCUGCUCUGAUUAUUUAUCUCCUUUCUUCCCCACGCAGGUGCUGCUGCCCAAAGAGCUUCUGGGGAAAGGUUCCUGUGUGGGGCAUAGAAAUGGUGAUGGAUAUAGCUGGGGCCUGCUGAAGGUACUGAUUAGGUGUUUCCUCCAGGGAAGGCAAAUAACCAGCCUGUAGACCUAGUGUAAAUGAUCUUGGGCAGCAUUUCUGUUUUCUUUCACUGCUUUGGAUCACUUUCUUUGUAAGACAAACGGCUUCAGCCAGCCUGGUCGUGGGAUAUUUCCAUCGCUGUUUGAUCUGUUUUCCAGCAGCGCUGGCUCGGCGUUGGAGCAAAUGUUGAAAGCUGCUGCCAGGGAGGUGCAGGGAAGAGCACGCGAGCAGGAUGCGACUGGAGUGAAAGCUCCCCCUCAGCCAAAGCCAUUUCUCACCAGUUUGCUCAAAUUUGCAAGAACAGCCCAGAAAGAACCACCUCUGCAACUCGUACAGCUUAACAGAAAAUGGGUAUUUGUAUGGGCAAGUACUGCUGUAAAAGGAAGAUAAGUCAUGAUCCGGGCAACCUGGGAAACUCAACUUCCACUCAAUAUUUUCCAGACUGACUGGGGUUUGUGGGGCCCUGGUGAAUGCAUCUCCGAAGGGUGCCACUUUCAGACCUACCUUUUGAAACAGAUUUAGUUAAUGGUGAUGUGCAGUCAAAGAAUUGCUCUCCAUUCUGCUAAAUUACGUUUUGUUUCAGGACUCUAAUCUGAAGCCAUACUCAAAAGCUGCAGCAGUUUAGAAAAAUUAGCCAGCAGCCUGGCUGAGCUUACAUCUCAAGCACGCUAGUUUUAUUAUGCAGUGAUAAAUCACUUUUUAACUUUCUGCACAAAGGGCAUUUUCUUGUCGAUGUAUUUGAGAACGUUGUAGAGGUGUUUGUAAUUAAAUAAGGAAAAAGCAGAACUUCUUUUAGGAAGAAAUUAAUUUGUGAUGCUAUUGAAAUCAGAGAAUUUUGAAAAUACUGUCCAUGGGUUAUUUUUGCUUUGUGCUUCCACAAAAGUAAUUGUAUUUCUCUCUAAAAUACAGUGAAGUGAGAAAUAGGCAGUUUUCUUUUACAUGGAGGACAGAAAAUUUAUCAAAUAGAGACAGUACAGACUUAGGUAAAGAUGUCUGGAUUUUGCCUGCAUUAAAAUAUUUUCAAGGUCAAGCUUUCCAAGGUCUUUCACCUAAUCAUGUACUGAACCACAACUUUCUAGCCAUUAAAAGUGCCUAUGCUUCAUAGUAUGGUUUAGUUUAAAAAAAUGACACGUUAGAGCUCAAAAAACAGACAGUUCAGCUUUGAGUGCCAAAUAUAUGAAAUGCCCUCCUCUUCCUUGUCCUUUUCCAAUCCAGGGUGGCCAGCUUAGCGUUCUGCCCAGUUUUGAUUAAAGAUGAGGUACAGAUCUGAUCUGGCAUGGCAAUUGCUAUAUUCCAGUGUAAGCCACAGACUAUUGCUGCUAUUAUUUAUUCUCAGACAAAAACAUUCACUCCCACAACCUCCAACUAUAGGCUGCAAAUUCUUCAUGCCUAGCUUUUUGCCAUGAGUAAAAACGACAUUAUUUCUCAUUUGCUCUGGUUGCUGUGGGCUGCCUCACCUGUCACAGCCAAGAGCUGCACUAUCUGUUGGCCAUUCUGCGUGGAACGAUUUGAAAAUUUCCAGUGCUCUCUUCCACUACAGAUCAGAAACCAGACAGUUCAAGAAUGUGAAGCCAAGACUUGAUGCUGCAAAAUUUCAGAUAAAAGCUGUGAGGGAUCGGGGUCUCUGCCGCUAAGUACUUUUGAUCUCGGUUGGAUGUACCGCUGCCUCCUCAGGAGUCAAUAGAAUUACAUGGCUAUGACAGUGCGCCAAGGACACAGUCGCAGCGUGCAGGGACCAUGCUGACCUCCAGGAUGGGGCUGUUAAAAGGGGACAGCACAGCUCCGAGCUGAAGGGCACAUCGCUGGGUACACCUAGCUCAAAAGUUCCCUCAGAGUCUCUACCUUGAACGCCUUUUGUGAUCUGAAGUGAAAAGUGAGCAGCAACAUAUGGUGACAGGGGAUUGCAUAACAUGGUCCAAAUCCUUGCAGCACGUUUGUUUAAAACUAGUGUUUAGGAUACAAGAGACUGUGUGGAUCCUGAUACCAUUGUACCUGGCAGGAUGGCUUUGCGGUGCUUAGACGUGGCAGUGAUUCAACCCAUUAAGCAGACAGAUGCUUUGUAGACCUGAUGUUACACCACUUCUCACCCUAGAGAGUUGCUUCCUGUACGGCACUUCAUCUUUAAUGAUCUUAAUUAAUACUAAUUGGUAUAUAAUCACCUCGAAAAAUACUAUUCUAUGAGGAAAACUCAUCUCUGAUGUUACAGAGAUAGGUAAUUGUGAGAAAUCUUAAUGUACUACAGCCCUGCGUAAAUGAUUAAAUAAAACAGAUCUUCCUCUGUUUUGUCUGUAUCUAUCUAUAUAUUGUUUUCCUUGAUAGCUUAUAUUGUAACUCCCACACCUGAAGCUUCCACCACAUGUUUUAAACUAUUUCAGAAGUAAUGUGAGGCUAGCAGAGAUCACACUUAUGAAAACUGUAAUGAAAAACCAUUAUUAAAGAAGGGAUAUAAUUUUUUCUUUUCUUUUCUUUUUCCUUUUUUCUCCAACUUGCUUUCAAUCAGCAUACUAAUUCUGCUCUUACGUAAAAUUCACUCCUGCAUUUAUAUAGCAGGGUAGUUUCAUUUUUGGUCCAUUCCUGUUUUGAGAAGGAAUCUUCCUGCACACAUCCCCAAGAUUCCCUUUCUCUUUUAGUAAGCAUUGCGAUUACAUAAAAAGAAAAGCAGAGAUCUUAGUAAACAAAACCAGAGGAAUGAUUUAAUCUUUAAAGCUGGCUAGGACACCGAACUUGCAAUUCACAUCUCAUUUUUGUCAGCAGCAUGUCCAAACCACCAAGACCAUUCUCGAAAAUCACAGCUGUGACAGCUAUGGCCACCGAGCUACAGGAAAGCUGCACUCAGGUCAUUCUGCCUUGUCACCGCCAAUGAAACAUGAGAAUAGUUAGCAUUACUGCCCGCUGAUUUUGCAGCCUCUUUUGUUCAGUAAAAACAAUUCUAAUGAUUAAUAGCAUCAUAAAAUAGCAUG
Long non-coding RNA from Falco peregrinus (peregrine falcon), 14942 nucleotides. RefSeq lists it as uncharacterized. The transcript has 6 exons. The record is from RefSeq and is a predicted model, not a curated record. Lineage: Eukaryota; Metazoa; Chordata; Aves; Falconiformes; Falconidae.